GUCGCAGGUUCGAAUCCUGCACGACCCACCAAUUUCAGCAUUUAACUCAGAUGCUGAACGUGAAGGAUAACGUUGCGACGGCAACGGCCCGAAGGGCGAGGCGAAGCCGAGUCAUCCUGCACGACCCACCA
RNAcentral lists this small RNA (131 nucleotides) under Klebsiella pneumoniae. Its description in RNAcentral is "partial RtT sRNA". It matches the Rfam family "RtT RNA", at positions 34 to 130 of the family's 130-position model. Rfam says of the family: This family represents a bacterial cis-regulatory element known as RtT RNA. The exact function of RtT is unknown although it is thought that it may be involved in changing the cellular response in relation to amino acid starvation. Lineage: Bacteria; Pseudomonadati; Pseudomonadota; Gammaproteobacteria; Enterobacterales; Enterobacteriaceae. The record is from RNAcentral.